RNAcentral lists this unclassified non-coding RNA (424 nucleotides) under fungal sp. RNAcentral describes it as "partial internal transcribed spacer region". The stretch from base 1 to 46 matches the Rfam family "Eukaryotic small subunit ribosomal RNA", at positions 1786 to 1831 of the family's 1831-position model. Lineage: Eukaryota; Fungi. The record is from RNAcentral.
AAGUCGUAACAAGGUUUCCGUAGGUGAACCUGCGGAAGGAUCAUUAACACGUAUCCACGUUAAUAUCAACCACCACGAACUGUGCUCCCUGGCUGCCAACUAUUUUGCUUCGUCCGACACGGGUUGUAAUGGAGUUACGAAGAUUGUCUUGCACCUAGGUCCAUCUGACUGUCGUAACAUACUCGUGUCCGUCUUACAUGUCUCUCUUCGGGGAGGCGUGUGGCAAAGUGACCGGUUCGCUGGGUUAUUUUCCCCCAUCAAUCUGCUCUCUCAACCAUUUUGAGAGAAAAGUGCGAUACCAUACCAAUUUCACCCUAUUUUACCUAUUUGACUAAUUACGAAUUCUAUGGGAGAAAUCCUAUUGGAAUGACCUAAGAUUUAUCUUAACUAAGCACAACUCUUAGCAAUGGAUAUCUUGGUUCUC